RNAcentral lists this small RNA (127 nucleotides) under Marmota monax (woodchuck). The record is from RNAcentral. Lineage: Eukaryota; Metazoa; Chordata; Mammalia; Rodentia; Sciuridae.
GCUGGCUGUGGUGGUGCACGCCUGUAAUCCCAGUGGCUUGGGAGGCUGAGGCAGGAGGAUUGUGAGUUCAAAGCCAGCCUCAGCAACUUAGCAAGACUCUGGGCAACGUAGUGAGACUCUGUCUCAA